AUUUUGUUUUUUCCAAAAUGAUUUAAGAAAUGACCCCCACUCUCAAGCUCUGAUGUUGUUUACACGGGUGGGCUUUAUUUUUCUGGGCUUUACACAUUCACGAACAAACGCUACCAUGGCGAUUAUCCCCUGAAAUUUGCAUCGUUCUUCUCCAUCAGUCGGUCUCCAUUCUUCACUCCGGCUAGGUUUUUGAAAUUAGGUUGGAAACUAUAGUCGAUAAACGAAUUGAUUCCUCUUCGCUGUUUCUAUCGAACCAUUGAUCAUCUUGUCAGACAGGAAAGUAAAUUUUUGAAGUUCUUAAGGUUUAUGUGGAACCCUCUAUCAUGGGUUAUGGAAGCAGCAACUAUUAUGGCCAUUGCACUGGCCAAUGGAGGAUUUAUUAAGGUUUGAUUUACUUUAUCUCCAACAGUUUUUAAAGAACGUGCAAAGUGAUAUGCUCCUCAAAAGUAGGUGAGAACCAAAUAUGAUACAAGUUUUUGCUUCUCUAUUCUACGUGUCUGGUUUAGAUUCACUUAUAUACUUGUUUGUUUGUACCACCACAUCAACUUGGAUGGAUUUACUUCAUCUCCAACCGUUUUUAAAGAGCAAGCAACAUGAGUCUGCUUAAGACACUAUUCAAGCAUUGGAUGUUCUCAGGGAUGCUCCAUCGAAACUGUAAGAUUCUUAAUGCUACCUUAUUUUAUCAUUUGAAAAUGUCUUGGUCAGUAGUUUAUUUUGGUUUGGGUAUGUUGUUGUGUGACUUUAUAAAUUAUAAUAGUGUACUCUGUGUGGUUCUAAAGGAAUGAGUUAAUGCAAAUGUUUUGUUUAAGAAAUUUAUUUUCUCAAGUAAAAAGCAGAUUCUAUCUUGACAGCCACUAUUGAGAUGGUAAAUGUGAAUCAUGGUAGUGAAAUUCAUGCUUGUGCUCUUAAAUAGGUACCUGAUACUGAUGUCUUGGUUUGCUAUGCUCUCAUAAAUAUAUACUCAAAGUGUGGUUUGGUCUCGUUUUUCUAUUUGAACUUCUCAAUUAUGUAUUUGAUGCUUUACAUACAUGUAUAUUCGUGUUAUAUAUUCUAUUUUGCAGAUUUUUUCAUCAGAAUUUCAGAGAAGUUUCGAUGUGUAGGAUUUCAAGACUAUGUAAUGAGAUUUAUUACAUUUAUAAGGCCAAAUCAGUUGGUGUGUUUGAGAUUGAGUUUAUUAGAAUGUUGUAUUUCAUAUUUUGGAUAUUUUGAAUCACAAAGCAGGUAUUAUGAAAUAAAAUUAACUAGUCUUUUUAA
This is a long non-coding RNA of Cannabis sativa, 1254 nucleotides long. RefSeq lists it as uncharacterized. The record is from RefSeq and is a predicted model, not a curated record. The transcript is spliced from 4 exons. NCBI's taxonomy places the organism in Eukaryota, Viridiplantae, Streptophyta, Magnoliopsida, Rosales, Cannabaceae.